AUGCCAUGAUGAGGCCAUUUUUGUAAUAACUCCUUGAACUACUCCCAUGCCUCAUAUAAAUAAGAAACAUUCAACCAACAUUUUGCAUGU
Molecule: non-coding RNA, 90 nt
Organism: Gossypium hirsutum (cotton)
Lineage: Eukaryota; Viridiplantae; Streptophyta; Magnoliopsida; Malvales; Malvaceae
Source: Rfam